GCAAUACCUUUCUUGGAUAAAACAACUUGAGAAUCUCCCACAUGUUCUACUAUAAAUAUUUGACUACUUAUGAGCAUUGCAAUAACUGCAGUUGACCCUCCUUUGCCCAAUUCAAAUGUUUCAACAUUUCAUAUUCCACAAGACAAAACUCGAUCAAGAAGAAAGACAACUCCUCUAGCUGGUAAUUAUAAUCAAGAAUAUAACUAUAUUAGUUUAGAGAUUAGUUUAACUUUAGUUUAACUUAUCAGCUUGAGCAGCCUUGAGAAAUCUUCUCAUAAAAAUA
This 283-nucleotide unclassified non-coding RNA is filed under the name Hevea brasiliensis (rubber tree). The record is from RNAcentral. Lineage: Eukaryota; Viridiplantae; Streptophyta; Magnoliopsida; Malpighiales; Euphorbiaceae.